UGGAGGAAGUAGGAAGAAUCUAGAGAGAAUUAGACGCAAGGGGAAGGAAGAGAGCGGCAGGAGGUAACUCCAAACAACCACCAGCCACGGUCUUCCUUUGGCAACAUGAGUUCAAAAAGAAGAUCAAAACAUAAAGAAUGUGUUUCACAGAACAAAAUGUAGAUGUAGACGAGGCUGAACAGUGAUGUCAGAGAAAACUGGACUAUGCACUCAAGAUCACAGGAAUUACUUUGCUAAAGGUAUGAGAAGUGGAAGAUGUUUGAGAAGCUCUGAUCUAUAAGAAGGGUACUUAUGAGCUCAUGGGGUGAGACUUCAACAAAAGCAAAACAACAUCAACAAUAAAACACCGUGAAAACCUAUUAAAGGCAUUGUGCACCCGGUGAACAUUCUACAGAAUGCCUGCCCUGGAGUCUGCUGUUACACGUGCCGUUGCAUGGUUACAGAAUCUUACCAUGGGGAAGAAACUGACUUCGAACCUCCCUUUCUGAGAUGCUGAGGAGAGAGGAAUUACAUUUUCUCACAAGGUGGUAGUUUGAAUGCUUGACCCAUGGGA
This is a long non-coding RNA of Mus musculus (house mouse), 553 nucleotides long. RefSeq annotates it as predicted gene, 31415. NCBI's taxonomy places the organism in Eukaryota, Metazoa, Chordata, Mammalia, Rodentia, Muridae. The record is from RefSeq and is a predicted model, not a curated record. The transcript is spliced from 5 exons.